UACGUAGGGGGCUAGCGUUAUCCGGAUUUACUGGGCGUAAAGGGUGCGUAGGUGGUUUCUUAAGUCAGGAGUGACAGGCUACGGCUCAACCGUAGUAAGCUCUUGAAACUGGGAAACUUGAGUGCAGGAGAGGAAAGUGGAAUUCCUAGUGUAGCGGUGAAAUGCGUAGAUAUUAGGAGGAACACCAGUAGCGAAGGCGGCUUUCUGGACUGUAACUGACACUGAGGCACGAAAGCGUGGGGAGCAAACAGGAUUAGAUACCCUGGUAGUCCACGCUGUAAACGAUGAGUACUAGGUGUCGGGGGUUACCCCCCUCGGUGCCGCAGCUAACGCAUUAAGUACUCCGCCUGGGGAGUACGCUCGCAAGAGUGAA
Molecule: ribosomal RNA, 373 nt
Filed under: uncultured bacterium
Lineage: Bacteria
Description: bacterial SSU rRNA
Rfam family: Bacterial small subunit ribosomal RNA
Source: RNAcentral